This 73-nucleotide transfer RNA is filed under the name Phycisphaeraceae bacterium. Its description in RNAcentral is "tRNA-Ala". It matches the Rfam family "tRNA". From Rfam's summary of the family: Transfer RNA (tRNA) molecules are approximately 80 nucleotides in length. Lineage: Bacteria; Pseudomonadati; Planctomycetota; Phycisphaerae; Phycisphaerales; Phycisphaeraceae. RNAcentral also lists the same sequence under 3 other names. The record is from RNAcentral.
GGGGCUGUAGCUCAGUUGGGAGAGCGCUUGCAUGGCAUGCAAGAGGUCGUCGGUUCGAGCCCGAUCAGCUCCA